This 443-nucleotide ribosomal RNA is filed under the name uncultured bacterium. Its description in RNAcentral is "partial 16S ribosomal RNA". It matches the Rfam family "Bacterial small subunit ribosomal RNA", at positions 338 to 795 of the family's 1533-position model. The record is from RNAcentral.
CCUACGGGGGGCAGCAGUGGGGAAUAUUGGGCAAUGGAGGAAACCCUGACCCAGCAACGCCGCGUGAAUGAUGAAGGUCUUCGGAUUGUAAAGUUCUUUUCUAAGGGACGAAGAAAGUGACGGUACCUUAGGAAUAAGCCUCGGCUAACUACGUGCCAACAGCCGCGGUAAUACGUAGGAGGCAAGCGUUAUCCGGAAUGACUGGGCGUAAAGGGUGCGUAGGUGGUUUGACAAGUUGGUAGCGUAACUCCGAGGCUUAACCUCUGCACUACUACCAAAACUGUUGUACUCGAGUGCAGGAGGGGCAAAUGGAAUUCCUAGUGUAGCGGUGGAAUGCGUAGAUAUUAGGAGGAACACCAGUGGCGAAGGCGAUUUGCUGGACUGUAACUGACACUGAGGCACGAAAGCGUGGGGAGCAAACAGGAUUAGAUACCCGAGUAGUC